RNAcentral lists this ribosomal RNA (405 nucleotides) under bacterium. RNAcentral describes it as "partial 16S ribosomal RNA". It matches the Rfam family "Bacterial small subunit ribosomal RNA", at positions 355 to 776 of the family's 1533-position model. The record is from RNAcentral.
UGGGGAAUCUUGCGCAAUGGGGGGAACCCUGACGCAGCGACGCCGCGUGCGGGACGGAGGCCUUCGGGUCGUAAACCGCUUUCAGCAGGGAAGAGUCAAGACUGUACCUGCAGAAGAAGCCCCGGCUAACUACGUGCCAGCAGCCGCGGUAAUACGUAGGGGGCGGGCGUUAUCCGGAUUCAUUGGGCGGAAAGCGCGCGUAGGCGGCCCGGCAGGCCGGGGGUGGAAGCGGGGGGCUCAACCCCCCGAAGCCCCCGGAACCUCCGGGGGUUGGGUCCGGGAGGGGAGGGUGGAACACCCGGUGUAGCGGUGGAAUGCGCAGAUAUCGGGUGGAGCACCGGUGGCGCAGGCGGCCCUCUGGGCCGAGACCGACGCUGAGGCGCGAAAGCUGGGGGAGCGAACAGG